Molecule: transfer RNA, 37 nt
Filed under: Musophaga violacea (violet turaco)
Lineage: Eukaryota; Metazoa; Chordata; Aves; Musophagiformes; Musophagidae
Description: partial tRNA-Phe
Source: RNAcentral
GAUGUUAAGACGGCAAACCCAUCUAGGCCCAGAGACA